GGGCCAAUAGCUCCAAUUGGCUAGAGCGUCGGUCUCCAAAACCGAAUGUUGCAGGUUCGAAUCCUGCUUGGCCCG
RNAcentral lists this transfer RNA (75 nucleotides) under Spirochaetes bacterium GWF1_41_5. Its description in RNAcentral is "tRNA-Trp". It matches the Rfam family "tRNA". Rfam says of the family: Transfer RNA (tRNA) molecules are approximately 80 nucleotides in length. Their secondary structure includes four short double-helical elements and three loops (D, anti-codon, and T loops). Lineage: Bacteria; Pseudomonadati; Spirochaetota. The record is from RNAcentral.